Molecule: long non-coding RNA, 1822 nt
Organism: Pezoporus occidentalis (night parrot)
Lineage: Eukaryota; Metazoa; Chordata; Aves; Psittaciformes; Psittacidae
Exons: 2
Source: RefSeq, a predicted model, not a curated record
AGGAGGAAGGCGUUUGGCAGAGGGUGUGGCGCUCGGGUGGGAACGGGGAGCUUUGUCUUUUCCCGGCCCAUGACCCAGAUGCCCCCAUCGUGUGCAGGUGCUGCCACGAUCCCCAGGCUUCUUGCAUGGUCUGUCCCGCGUCACCUCACACAUAACCAAGAAUGGCCUAUACACAGCGUACAUCCCACCAUAAUGGGAACUGAGUCACGUCCCCCUCCCUUCAACCACAGUGGCUGGCUGAUUGUAUUUCUGUAACCAAAACCUUUCCUCCUUUUUCCCUUUCCUCCUUUUUUAACUCCAAGAUGGUAAUUCCUACUGCUGUCUUCAAAACUAAGCAAGCCCUUAAUCCAGUGGCUUUCAAUGCUGACCUGCAGAGCACCUGCGUGGAGUUAAAACAGCACUGGUUGAUCACCUAGGUUUGCCACUUGCUCUGCUGAAACCACCCUUGGAAAAGCACAGAUGCAUUCAAGAGGUUGUUGGGAUUUUCCAGAUAAGCUGUGAGUCAUAGUGCCAUCAUGAUCAGUAAUAUGGAUCUAGUUUGCAGAGCAUCUAAACAGAUGUUUAACUUUGUGCAUCAUCAUUGGCAGAAGUAUUCACCUGCUUGAUAUCUUACUGUUGGUGAGGGGUUUGUGGCAAGAGGCAGGUAGACAAGGCUGAAUUUUUAGAGGAGGAGGCCCGCAGCAAAAUCUUCUAAUUACAAUUAAUUCAAUUCUGGCUUAAUAUAAAACUCAAUUUUGAAAUUCAAAAGUGCAGAUGAAAAGAGUUGUUAAAAGAGGAUCCUCUUUUUUUUCUUUCUCCCACACACACAUGUGCAUGCACAUCCUAUAAGGAGCAGAUUUCAGUCAUGCAAAAUAUAUGAUCUAAUUUUAAACCACUGACAAGAUGUGCUCCUUAAAGCAUACUCUUAUUUUAGAAUUAUUUGAAACUAUACUUAAAGGAAUGGUCAUCCUAAUACAGCUAACUAUAAAUCACAUUUGCAAUCCAUAAAUCCUAGUGAUGUGAAUGCACUUUAUCUUUACAUAGGGUGACCUUUAAUAAUUAUAGUAUCACAUGUGGAUAAGAGAGAAAGUUAUAAAUGCGUCUUUUUUUCUUGUUACAUGCAGAUGAUGAGCAUAUUCACUGCUUAAGAAUAAUUUACUUGUUCUGAACUUUCUCUCAAUUCUUCCAGAGCUGCUGCUUCAAGCCAUCCACCAGCAAGGAAUCGAGGCAUCUGGCCACUGUCCUGCGUACUUCUGAGUUUUUACAACUAUCACAAUUGCUGCAUGCAAAGUACCUGUGAUUCAUUGUAUUACCUAUCAGGCUAGAAGUCUGCAUUUAGAUGUGGCCUGAGCUAAAUCUGGGGUCUAAUUACAGUGUAGAAAAACUAGCGGUGCAAAAUGUUACAAUUUUUUAACAGCUAGAGUAAGUGUAACCUACUUUCUCCAAAUACUGUCUAUACAAAAAGAUCUUGGUUUAUCUGAACUAUUUGCAAUACUAGAAGCAUCAGGAUUACUGCACUCUUAAAAUCAAUUGGAAUGAAGGAAAGACUGUUGUAGCUGUGAAAUGUAUUUAAUUUAUUAAAUAUUUAUUAUUAUUUGUCCUAAAGUAUUUAUUAAUAUUUGUCCUAAACUAAUUAGGUGAUACAAAGAGUAUACUCACUAAGAGUAAGUGCUAAAAUUCUGAGAAUGAUGUAUUUUAUUUCUCUCACAAAACAGAAACAGAAUGUUUAUCAAAAUCAUUGCUAAUGGUAUUUAAAAACAGACGAAAAAGAAAGUGAUUUUAAAAUAAAAGUACUCUUACUUUUAGCUUGAUUACCUAAAGAAAUAAUGUUCUUGCAAUCAUA